This 322-nucleotide ribosomal RNA is filed under the name uncultured soil bacterium. Its description in RNAcentral is "bacterial SSU rRNA". It matches the Rfam family "Bacterial small subunit ribosomal RNA", at positions 26 to 351 of the family's 1533-position model. The record is from RNAcentral.
AGAUUGAACGCUGGCGGCAGGCCUAACACAUGCAAGUCGAGCGGUAGAGUGGUGCUUGCAUCUCUUGAGAGCGGCGGACGGGUGAGUAAUGCCUAGGAAUCUGCCUAGUGGUGGGGGAUAACGUUCGGAAACGGACGCUAAUACCGCAUACGUCCUACGGGAGAAAGCGGGGGACCUUCGGGCCUCGCGCCAUUAGAUGAGCCUAGUCGGAUUAGCUAGUUGGUGAGGUAAUGGCUCACCAAGGCGACGAUCCGUAACUGGUCUGAGAGGAUGAUCAGUCACACUGGAACUGAGACACGGUCAGACUCCGUACGGGAGGCAG